RNAcentral lists this ribosomal RNA (527 nucleotides) under uncultured bacterium. RNAcentral describes it as "bacterial SSU rRNA". It matches the Rfam family "Bacterial small subunit ribosomal RNA", at positions 777 to 1302 of the family's 1533-position model. The record is from RNAcentral.
AAUAGAUACCCUGGUAGUCCACGCCGUAAACGAUGAGUGCUAAGUGUUAGAGGGUUUCCGCCCUUUAGUGCUGCAGCUAACGCAUUAAGCACUCCGCCUGGGGAGUACGGCCGCAAGGCUGAAACUCAAAGGAAUUGACGGGGGCCCGCACAAGCGGUGGAGCAUGUGGUUUAAUUCGAAGCAACGCGAAGAACCUUACCAGGUCUUGACAUCCUCUGCCAACCCUAGAGAUAGGGCGUUCCCCUUCGGGGGACAGAGUGACAGGUGGUGCAUGGUUGUCGUCAGCUCGUGUCGUGAGAUGUUGGGUUAAGUCCCGCAACGAGCGCAACCCUUGAUCUUAGUUGCCAGCAUUCAGUUGGGCACUCUAAGGUGACUGCCGGUGACAGACCGGAGGAAGGUGGGGAUGACGUCAAAUCAUCAUGCCCCUUAUGACCUGGGCUACACACGUGCUACAAUGGAUGGUACAAAGAGCUGCGAACCCGCGAGGGUAAGCCAAUCUCAUAAAGCCAUUCUCAGUUCGGAUUGGU